Molecule: long non-coding RNA, 96 nt
Organism: Amblyraja radiata (thorny skate)
Lineage: Eukaryota; Metazoa; Chordata; Chondrichthyes; Rajiformes; Rajidae
Exons: 3
Source: RefSeq, a predicted model, not a curated record
ACAUCGCGGAGCUUGCGAUCCCUUUACCAGGGAUCUAGGCUCCAACCGCCGGGCCUGUGGACUUCAACAUCGUGAAGCCCGCGAGCUUCGAUCGCC